CUUAACACAUGCAAGUCGAGGGGCAGCGGGUCUAGCAAUAGAUGCCGGCGACCGGCGAAAGGGUGAGUAACGCGUGAGCAACGUGCCCGUAUGUGGGGGAUAGUCGAUGGAAACGUCGCGUAAUACCCCGUAACACAGGUUCCCGCAUGGGGAUAUGUUGAAAGAUUAAUUGCAUACGGAUCGGCUCGCGUGCCAUUAGGUAGACGGCGGGGUAACGGCCCACCGUGCCGACGAUGGCUAGGGGUUCUGAGAGGAAGGUCCCCCACAUUGGAACUGAGACACGGUCCAGACUCCUACGGGAGGCAGCAGUGAGGAAUAUUGGACAAUGGCCGGAAGGCUGAUCCAGCCAUGCCGCGUGCGGGAGGACGGCCCUAUGGGUUGUAAACCGCUUUUGCGGGGGAGCAAUAAGUGUUACGUGUAACACGAUGAGAGUACCCUGCGAAUAAGCAUCGGCUAACUCCGUGCCAGCAGCCGCGGUAAUACGGAGGAUGCAAGCGUUAUCCGGAUUUAUUGGGUUUAAAGGGUGCGUAGGCGGCUUGGUAAGCGGGAGGUGAAAUGCCGGCGCUCAACGUCGGAAGUGCCUCCCGAACUGUCGGGCUUGAAUAGUACUGCCGUGGGAGGAAUGAGUGGUGUAGCGGUGAAAUGCUUAGAGAUCACUCAGAACACCGAUUGCGAAGGCAUCUCACGAAGUACCGAUUGACGCUGAGGCACGAAAGCGUGGGGAUCAAACAGGAUUAGAUACCCUGGUAGUCCACGCAGUAAACGAUGAUGGCUAACCGCUGGGACGAACGUUUCAGUGGCCAAGCGAAAGCGAUAAGCCAUCCACCUGGGGAGUACGACCGCAAGGUUGAAACUCAAAGGAAUUGACGGGGGCCCGCACAAGCGGAGGAACAUGUGGUUUAAUUCGAUGAUACGCGAGGAACCUUACCCGGGCUCGAACGGCUGGCGAAGAGAUCCAGAGAUGGUGACGUCCUUCGGGACGCCAGUCGAGUGCUGCAUGGUUGUCGUCAGCUCGUGCCGUGAGGUGUCGCUCAGUGCCAUAACGAGCGCACCCUUGCGUCAGUUGCAUCAGGUGAGCUGGGACUCUGGCGGACUGCCACCGCAGGUGUGAGAAGGGGGAUGACUUCAUCAGCACGUCCUACGUCGGGCGACACACGGUCCAUGGCGGCCAGAGGAUACUGCGUACGAUGAAUCGAAGCGCUCACUCGGAUCGAUGACGAUCAGACUGAUCCUAGAUCGCACUACCAUGCGCGUGAU
This 1257-nucleotide ribosomal RNA is filed under the name uncultured rumen bacterium. Its description in RNAcentral is "partial 16S ribosomal RNA". It matches the Rfam family "Bacterial small subunit ribosomal RNA", at positions 47 to 1273 of the family's 1533-position model. The record is from RNAcentral.